Molecule: RNA transcript, 1851 nt
Organism: Lolium rigidum
Lineage: Eukaryota; Viridiplantae; Streptophyta; Magnoliopsida; Poales; Poaceae
Exons: 4
Source: RefSeq, a predicted model, not a curated record
UAUUCCACAUCCCAUCGGCCUGCGAUAGUUAUAUUUACUAUAUAUCAAAGCUGAACCUGUUUGCCGUUACCACAUCGUUUUGGUAACUGUUCACGCACAAUUUGCUCCAAUCAGCCAUAGACACGUUCUGCUAUUAUUUUACGUUCCAGGUUUUUCUUUACUCCUGCGGUAUUUUUGGGCGGUGGUUUCUCGGGAAUCAUCUCGAUGGUCUACCACGUCAAAGCGGUGCUUUUCCCCUUGCAAAAAAAAAAAAAAAACGGUGCUUUCCUGAGCGAAAUAUCCUCUCUUCCCCACGAGUCUCUCCCCUCUCUCCAGUCUAGCGGCAGACACACCCUCAUCCCGUGCUUCCAUCUUGCGCGCGGUGGUGGUGUGAUCAUCCGUGCUCACGCCGGUAGUGUUGGGCUGGUUCCGGCGGCGGAGGGACGCAGGGAUGGCGGCCGCGACCGAGCCCGAGAGGCACAUCCUCCUCACGCGCCUCCAACCCGUUGCCCGAUCCGUUCCCCUCACCACGGCAUAGCCCGACGGCCCGGAGCGGCCUCGCAACCGACGGAAGACGCGGCAGAACCCUCCGUCAUGGGGCACCCCUCGAGGAGCACCUCCAGCCAGAUAUGGAGAUGUAUGGCGAGGAAUUUGACGAGGAGGGGAAAUAAGAGUCGGAUCUGUAGCGCCAUGCCUCCACACACAGCAUGGACGGAGCAGAGCCAGGAGGCGGCGAUCAUGGGAGCGCGCACGCCUCACCCUACAUGUACUUCCACGGCUACGUCAACGACUGGAUGGGACACGACCCAUCCCCUCUCGGUAACUAGCCGGUAAGCUGCUUCCGUGUCUCCCUCUGCUCUAUAUGCAGACCAGAAAAAUGCAGCGGCAGCUUCAACUGGGCGUGCACGGGAGCAGCAACAAGGAGGAAAUUGUCUUUCAGUACCUUGUGGUGUUCAUCUGAACUAGGAUUCCCUCUAGAAUUGAAGUCUGUUAUUAUGGCUUUCAGUUAAUCAAUGAAGCUAUACUUGCUAGGAGGUAGCUGACUGAGCAGUAAUAUUUAAGUUGAUAUAACCUCACAUACAAAAGUUAUUAAUAAUAGAGAUUCGUUUAAGAUAAUUUGAGGUGACCACUGCUAGCAUCGUCUAUAAUUUUCUGGUUUUGUCAAAUUAUGAUACUGAUUUUCGUACCAGAUAGUCCGAUACUUUGUAGCGACUGGGCUCCGAAAAAGAGAAGCAUCAUGCCGUACUGUGGAUUGAGGAGAUUGCAUAGUUCCGCAAGAUUUUGUGUUGCUUCAUCAAGGCACAUCAAUAUAUUCUGGCACUAACCUUUCUCUUACUCUCUGCACUUCUAUGUAAUGUGUAAUAUUUACCUUCCUUUUUCAAUCUGCGGUUUUAUGGAGUGUGUGAUCUAUUCCCCUAAAGUUGUUUGGUGCUUCUCCCCUGCGUCUCCCUCCUCCUAUAUGCAGAUCAGAAAGAAAAGAAGCAACGGUGUGCUGCUUCUACCUGCAUACAUCCUGCUAAGUCAAAGGUCAAAGGCGACUUUCUGGACAUUGACCAUUCAGCAUGGUAUUCUCCGUCAUUGAGGUGGCUCAAGCGUGCUCUUUUCUACAUGGCCAUGUCGCUUGUGAUCUGGCCCUCUGCUUCUGGUGCACAGCUGCCUACAGCCCGUGCACUUUGUGACAUCUUAUUGCGUUGAAGGUGAGGCAUUGGGUGACUUAUUCGUAUGGGCAUGGUUCGAGGUUAACAUGUUAUAUAUCCAUUCAGAACAGAGCAUGUUAUAUGCAAGAGGCCCAUGGUUUAGUUUUGUGAUGUUGACGAACUGCUACCACAAAUAACGAAAGAUAUUAAUGGAUGGUGGCAAGAAGGCUGGCAA